Molecule: ribosomal RNA, 497 nt
Filed under: uncultured bacterium
Lineage: Bacteria
Description: partial 16S ribosomal RNA
Rfam family: Bacterial small subunit ribosomal RNA
Source: RNAcentral
GAUGAACGCUGGCGGCGUGCCUAAUACAUGCAAGUCGAGCGAACAGACGAGGAGCUUGCUCCUCUGACGUUAGCGGCGGACGGGUGAGUAACACGUGGAUAACCUACCUAUAAGACUGGGAUAACUUCGGGAAACCGGAGCUAAUACCGGAUAAUAUAUUGAACCGCAUGGUUCAAUAGUGAAAGACGGUUUUGCUGUCACUUAUAGAUGGAUCCGCGCCGCAUUAGCUAGUUGGUAAGGUAACAGCUUACCAAGGCAACGAUGCGUAGCCGACCUGAGAGGGUGAUCGGCCACACUGGAACUGAGACACGGUCCAGACUCCUACGGGAGGCAGCAGUAGGGAAUCUGCCGCAAUGGGCGAAAGCCUGACGGAGCAACGCCGCGUGAGUGAUGAAGGUCUUCGGAUCGUAAAACUCUGUUAUUAGGGAAGAACAAAUGUGUAAGUAACUAUGCACGUCUUGACGGUACCUAAUCAGAAAGCCACGGCUAACUACGUG